AGACCCUGGCUGGGGCGCUCGCUGCGCGCAGGGCGCCGCGCCGGGCACUUUGGAGCGCUCUCUCCCGGGGUGCCCCCCACCGGCCCUCCGAUGCCCCAUUUCAGAGACUGGAACGACGAGGCCGGCCCCGCAUCGCCCGCUCCGCUGUGUCACCCGCCCCGGGGCAGCGGAGGCUCAGCGCCCGACCCUCCAGGAAGCAGGGGGUAGCUGGCGGCCGCAGGGGGCGGCGGCUUGGGGCCGGCGCCGGCCGGGGCAGCUGGUACCUGGGCUCCGGCAGGACGAUCCUCUUGCUGGCGCGGGCGGCCGGGGUCGCCUUGCUCUUCUCCAUGGCCAUCAGCAGGUAAUGAUGAAACUCCUGCUCUGGUCCGGGCUACCGGUGAACAGCGCCCAGCGGGCCGGGCCCCCAACCUCGCUCCUGAGCCUGAACAUCCCCCCAACCCCACCGUGAGAAUUCAGCGAAGAGUAAAAGCUGGAAAAAGUUGCGUGUCUUAGGCUAAGCAGAACAAAGUGGGGUGACGGCUCCCCGGCUAGGAACAGAGAUGCCCUUAGGGAGCCCUCUGAUGGAAGAGCUCUCCGCUUAAGAAGGUCACCACUCCCUUACACUCAGCCCCCCUCAAUCUGAUUCCCUGCUAUGCCUGCCAUCACCACUGGCCAGUUUUACCACAUGCUUCUCAAGACCCAAGGCACAAUAGGCAUAAAGUUGUCCUGAAAAGGACAAGAGGAGUGUCAGAAGUAGGAAUGGCAGUUGAAGGAGCUUCGUCUGCCAGCAGAAAGCUGAAAUGACAGGCAAGCACAAAAUAUAUUAAGGAGACAAAGCUAUGCAUGAGCGAAAUAUCAAACUUUCAUCUUCUACCCACUUUUUUUUUUUUUUUUUGCUUAAAAACAGGAAGACAGAAUGUCUUGUCAAGGGUCACCCCAGGAGGAGGAGUAAAUUCCCCAAAAAGCGGAACAUAUUUUUAUGAUUUAAUUAAUACAAUUUCUCUCAAUG
This 988-nucleotide long non-coding RNA is filed under the name Homo sapiens (human). RNAcentral's name for it is "GRK3 antisense RNA 1, transcript variant 10 (GRK3-AS1)". Lineage: Eukaryota; Metazoa; Chordata; Mammalia; Primates; Hominidae. The record is from RNAcentral.